Molecule: ribosomal RNA, 493 nt
Filed under: uncultured bacterium
Lineage: Bacteria
Description: partial 16S ribosomal RNA
Rfam family: Bacterial small subunit ribosomal RNA
Source: RNAcentral
AUUGAACGCUGGCGGCAUGCUUUACACAUGCAAGUCGAACGGCAGCGAGGAGAAGCUUGCUUCUCUGUCGGCGAGUGGCGAACGGGUGAGUAUGGCAUCGGAACGUGCCAAGUAGUGGGGGAUAACCAAACGAAAGUUUGGCUAAUACCGCGUAAGCUCUAAGGAGGAAAGUAGGGGACCUAAAUAAGGCCUUACGCUAUUUGAUCGGCCGAUGUCGGAUUAGCUAGUUGGUGGGGUAAUGGCUCACCAAGGCAAUGAUCCGUAGCGGGUCUGAGAGGACGAUCCGCCACACUGGGACUGAGACACGGCCCAGACUCCUACGGGAGGCAGCAGUGGGGAAUUUUGGACAAUGGGGGAAACCCUGAUCCAGCCAUGCCGCGUGUAUGAAGAAGGCCUUAGGGUUGUAAAGUACUUUUGUUAGGGAAGAAAAGCUAGUUUUUAAUAAAAAUUAGUGAUGACGGUACCUAAAGAAUAAGCACCGGCUAACUACGUG